Non-coding RNA from Podarcis lilfordi (Lilford's wall lizard), 1171 nucleotides. NCBI's taxonomy places the organism in Eukaryota, Metazoa, Chordata, Lepidosauria, Squamata, Lacertidae. The record is from the annotation of a GenBank genome assembly.
AAGUAGACAAACUCUUCACUCAUCCUAAUGCAAUCAGGACAACAGAUUGCCAGUCAUUAAUUGAGAGCUGUGAGUGUCAUCUUCCAACAGGCUAAUGAAACACAUCCACCCAAUGUCAACUAUUCUCUAUUAUAGACUUUCUCCAGUGCCAAAUUUACGUAUAAGCUAAACAAGCUAUAGCUUAGGGCCUCACUCUCUUGGGGGCUCCCAAAAAAUUGAAGGGGAAAAAAACUAUACAUUUCUAAAAUAUAAAGUAAAAAACAAAUAAAAUAAAACCUACAUACAGCAACAGUGUUUUGUGUUGUGUAGGCUCCUAUUUGAUAUGUGCACAUGGCUUUAGAUACCUAUUAGGUCCAUAAAUUACUAAAUAGCAUAUAUUCAACACAAAAAACAGCGACAAUUUGUUGUUGACAAAGGACAGCUGGACAUAUAAAGGGCCCCAUUACCUUCAGUAACUUAGGGCCUCCUCAAACCUAAAUCCAGCCCUGACCUUCUCUGUAAUACGCAGAGAAGGUCACCUGUCCUCUUUGUUCACCCAGAAAUUCCCAUUCAGUUGCCAGACUGAUUUUGUUUUCUAGGACUUUAAAUGGAAAUCUGAUAUUUCUGCUUUUGCACCCUGUCUUUGCCCAGUCCUGCCCAGUAAAGUUUCUCAACGGUCUCAGAAUUUCAGUUUCACCCAUGAGUUUCGAUUAUAUCCUGGCAUUGAGAAUCUCUUCUGCUGCUCUCUUUGAAAUGCUUCUCGUCAGACUAUGAUCAGUAUCCACCUUCGCUUUUUCACUUUCUUCUCUCCCUCUUGAUCAGAUCUCGCCUUCCUCUUCUUCUGGGACAGCCUUCGACAACAGACUUGAAAUCUACCUUUUAUUUUACUUUUAUCAAUAAAAUCCUUUUCUCUGAAAAGCUCUCAUCUCGCCUCUUUCCUCUUGGUAUGUUGAGUGCUCCCCACUACUAAGACUCCUACACCAAAGCUGACCCAUGCUUUGUUGCUGCUUAUUUGGACAAACUUGCUCGUUUCUGUGCCAUCUCUAUGAGAUUGACAGGAUCCUGUCCUCUGGCAGAACAGAGUGAUGGGUAUAGCAAUUACCCUGCAGUCCUUUGUAUUCUGGAAGGAUAUACUCACUGAACAUCAAAGCAGGUUUCAGACACAUAUAGAGCUAUAUGUUGUCUACGCUCU